GACGAACGCUGGCGGCGUGCCUAAUACAUGCAAGUUGAGCGCUGAAGGUUGGUACUUGUACCAACUGGAUGAGCAGCGAACGGGUGAGUAACGCGUGGGGAAUCUGCCUUUGAGCGGGGGACCACAUUUGGAAACGAAUGCUAAUACCGCAUAAAAACUUUAAACACAAGUUUUAAGUUUGAAAGAUGCAAUUGCAUCACUCAAAGAUGAUCCCGCGUUGUAUUAGCUAGUUGGUGAGGUAAAGGCUCACCAAGGCGAUGAUACAUAGCCGACCUGAGAGGGUGAUCGGCCACAUUGGGACUGAGACACGGCCCAAACUCCUACGGGAGGCAGCAGUAGGGAAUCUUCGGCAAUGGACGAAAGUCUGACCGAGCAACGCCGCGUGAGUGAAGAAGGUUUUCGGAUCGUAAAACUCUGUUGGUAGAGAAGAACGUUGGUGAGAGUGGAAAGCUCAUCAAGUGACGGUAACUACCCAGAAAGGGACGGCUAACUACGUG
This 497-nucleotide ribosomal RNA is filed under the name uncultured bacterium. RNAcentral's name for it is "partial 16S ribosomal RNA". It matches the Rfam family "Bacterial small subunit ribosomal RNA", at positions 28 to 507 of the family's 1533-position model. The record is from RNAcentral.